AAGACCAAGCAAAAGCUAAGGAAAACUCAUAUUACUUCACCGUCACCGUUGACCACCGUAUAAUCAAUCUAUACACAACCAAGCACGUCCUCUCUGCCGUGAAGAAGACAUUCAAACUAAAACCAGAUUCGGCCAAGGGUUAUAGCCGGUGCUGAUCUUUAGUCUUCAAUAAGUGUGAAAUGCUUCCAAUGAGUAUAGUAGGAGCUUGACAUCGAAAUACUAGGCAGCUUUGAGGAUGCUUCUGAGAUAAUAUUCUCGCAAUACUUUUCUCUUUCUUUUUUUUCUUCUUUUCUUACUGUUCCCUGAAGAAGUAAUGCCUCUUCUGGACAACUCGAUUUUGUCAUGGGAUCACGCUGAUGCAAUUUUCUCAUUGUAGAAUGAUGGGAACCACACGAAAGAGACUAUCCAGAUUGAAGCUUUAGUCAGGACAAAGAAUACUUUGAUGCUGAUGGGAACUUUGUUGAAUAUGUUAGAAACAAGGAAGUCAAGGUUCAAAGAUGAAUGUCCUGACAGUAUAGACAUAAAUCCAAUGCUGCAAAUGAUACUGAGAAACAAUGAAGAUAGUGGGACUGUAAAGCCAACGGAUUAACUUUCUCAAGAAGAUAUUUGAGUCAUAAAGAUGCGUAUUUCUAAACUCUUCGAACCUGUAUAAAAGGCGAGCCAUUUAGGGUCGUAACAAGUAUUUUUUUUAGGACAUAAAACACUGAAUAGUUGGAAAUAUUAGUUUCAGAUUAGCAUUGUUGAUUAUGCAUACAUCACACACUUAAGCUAACUCUGGUUCAUUAUUACACGUCCUUCUAUCUCUAAGGGAAAGGGAACUGGAGUAGGAUAAGAUGACAUCUGAAAAAAAGCUUAUCAUUAAUUUUGCUAAAUCCAGAAUGGUGAUUUCUGUUUAGUCUCAUUUUAAUUUUGAUAUAUCAAAAGCUUCGCUAAAAUGAAAAUGGUGCCCUGUUAACAUUAGUUUUUCUUUUUCAAGAUAUUUAUAAGGAGGAUCAAGAAGUUCUCGAGCGUGAAGCUGGUUACCUAUUAAUGCUUUAUAAAUCUCAUGAGGUUUCUCUACUCACAAAACUAGGAAACAAUGAUUUUUUCUUUAACUUUUUCUUCUCUACUGUGGUCUUCAUAGUUGAAUAUGCAGAGACGGCGAUGACGAAAUACUACUGGAGCGGAAGCCUUGCAAUCUGAUUAUGUAUUUGACAAAACUUCAGGGCACGUUUUUAUAUUCCUUUAUCUCUAGCUUUAUCGCACUGGACUACAAUAAACAAGGUCAACUUUUUUUCACUUGGAGUUUAUAAUGGCUGAUUACCACCGCCUGGUCUCUUCUAUCUGAACUUUAUUGUUCAAAAGGAAACUCUUCGACAGAGCCUUACAUUUCCUCCUACACUAUAUGUUGCUUGCACACUCUUCUGCGACAAACUUAUACAAGAAACAAUCCCAGGUUCUUCUCUCUAUCUUCCAUAUGCCCUACUGUGUUUAGCUAAGACAGUAUCUCCAUUUAAUUACACAAAAAAAUCAACAGGGAUCGGUAGGCAUUAGCAUAUACAUAUACGGUGCUUUGCUUUGAAUUAUGUCCCCCUAACUAACUCCAGAAGAUAAGCAGGCAACAGCUAGAUUCAAUGACGUCUUCAUUGGAUGAUAAGCCUAAUGAAUCAAAUGUUGAAGCAUCUACUAUAUUUUAUCACUCAGUUUAUUUUUUUGGUUUUUUGUAAGGGAUUUGCAGGUUUAGCGAGCAUCCUGAGCCGAUAAAGACCAUAGUUGGUCUAGAUUACCUGCUUUUACAGAGGAUGAGUCAGACCAAGAUAAAUUACAUGACACUUUACGUCAAGGAUAGUCUUCUCUCUAAAACAAAAUCUCCAUGGUUUCAACAUAUACAUGGUUGUGGAACCAACCCGCAAGUUAUAUGAUACUGUGGAAGUCUGGAAGAUUAAAGCUAAAGAUGUGGCUCACUGAUUGCUUCAUAUUGCCGUCAGUGUUUGGAAACACAUCUUCAGGAAUGAGAUUCGUAAGAUAUUACAUGCAUGAUCAAUUAAAAGAGAAAGAGAGAUAGAGACUAAUGUUUGGUGAUUUUGCUUAUUUCAGUAUGCAAAUACACCAUGGAGUUAGUACUGUUGUAUACCAAAAAACACUACGGCAUAUUAAGUAUCUGAAGAUACGACCAGAACUAA
Long non-coding RNA from Raphanus sativus (radish), 2162 nucleotides. RefSeq lists it as uncharacterized. The record is from RefSeq and is a predicted model, not a curated record. The transcript has 2 exons. NCBI's taxonomy places the organism in Eukaryota, Viridiplantae, Streptophyta, Magnoliopsida, Brassicales, Brassicaceae.